AUUGAACGCUGGCGGCAUGCCUUACACAUGCAAGUCGAACGGUAACGGGUCUUCGGAUGCUGACGAGUGGCGAACGGGUGAGUAAUACAUCGGAACGUGCCCAGACGUGGGGGAUAACGAGGCGAAAGCUUUGCUAAUACCGCAUACGAUCUAAGGAUGAAAGCCGGGGACCGCAAGGCCUUGCGCGUUUGGAGCGGCCGAUGGCAGAUUAGGUAGUUGGUGGGAUAAAAGCUUACCAAGCCGACGAUCUGUAGCUGGUCUGAGAGGACGACCAGCCACACUGGGACUGAGACACGGCCCAGACUCCUACGGGAGGCAGCAGUGGGGAAUUUUGGACAAUGGGCGAAAGCCUGAUCCAGCAAUGCCGCGUGCAGGAUGAAGGCCUUCGGGUUGUAAACUGCUUUUGUACGGAACGAAAAGGCUCUGGCUAAUACCUGGGGCACAUGACGGUACCGUAAGAAUAAGCACCGGCUAACUACGU
RNAcentral lists this ribosomal RNA (481 nucleotides) under uncultured bacterium. RNAcentral's name for it is "partial 16S ribosomal RNA". It matches the Rfam family "Bacterial small subunit ribosomal RNA", at positions 30 to 506 of the family's 1533-position model. The record is from RNAcentral.